Molecule: non-coding RNA, 21 nt
Filed under: Arabidopsis thaliana (thale cress)
Lineage: Eukaryota; Viridiplantae; Streptophyta; Magnoliopsida; Brassicales; Brassicaceae
Source: RNAcentral
UUAGUUGUCGUCGUAUCUUUG